RNAcentral lists this ribosomal RNA (487 nucleotides) under uncultured Lachnospiraceae bacterium. Its description in RNAcentral is "bacterial SSU rRNA". It matches the Rfam family "Bacterial small subunit ribosomal RNA", at positions 9 to 507 of the family's 1533-position model. The record is from RNAcentral. Lineage: Bacteria; Bacillati; Bacillota; Clostridia; Lachnospirales; Lachnospiraceae.
GAGUUUGAUCCUGGCUCAGGAUGAACGCUGGCGGCGUGCUUAACACAUGCAAGUCGAACGGAAACAGAAGGAAACCUAGUGAAUUCUGUUUAGUGGCGGACGGGUGAGUAACGCGUGGGGAACCUGCCGUAUACAGGGGGAUAACACAUAGAAAUAGGUGCUAAUACCGCAUAAGCGCACGCCUUCGCAUGAAGGAGUGUGAAAGGCGAAAGCCGGUAUACGAUGGCCCCGCGUCUGAUUAGCCAGUUGGCAGGGCAGCGGCCUACCAAAGCGACGAUCAGUAGCCGGCCUGAGAGGGCGGACGGCCACAUUGGGACUGAGACACGGCCCAGACUCCUGCGGGAGGCAGCAGUGGGGAAUAUUGCACAAUGGGGGGAACCCUGAUGCAGCGACGCCGCGUGAGUGAAGAAGUAUUUCGGUAUGUAAAGCUCUAUCAGCAGGGAAGAAAAUGACGGUACCUGAAUAAGAAGCCCCGGCUAACUACGUG